Onthophagus taurus is the source of this 1270-nucleotide non-coding RNA. Lineage: Eukaryota; Metazoa; Arthropoda; Insecta; Coleoptera; Scarabaeidae. The record is from RefSeq and is a predicted model, not a curated record.
GCCACCAGAUGUCGUUUCAAUGACGCAUGAGCUCUUUCGCUGACGUGGCAUCUCGACCGCGUUCUGGUUCUGCUUUCCAUUAAAUUCCAUUCCAAGGCGAGUUAGCCUGGAAGAAACUUCUUUUGCGGUGUUAACAGUUUUUUCAGAAACAACCUCGUAGAAAUGUCCAAAUAUUGCAUAUGGAGUGUCUCUUGUAACGUUUACCUCAAAACUUCCAUCAAUUGUCAUCGAAUAAACACAAAAAAGAGGCAGAUUUUCAACUGUGCAUUUCGAAAAUGAUUAAGAACAAGAUGUCGGCAAGGAUGAGUGGCAGCGAUUUCUCCAACAAGAUGGCGCGCCAUUACACUAUGCCGUUCCUGUUCGAGUUUAUUUCACCAAUUAUUUCUCAAUCGAUGGACUGUGUUAGAAGAGGGCCAAUUGAAAAGCCUUAAUAUCACCGGACUUCUCCCUUUAGGGAUAUCUGAAGAGUAAUGUUUACACCACUGGACCAAAUACUUUGGAUGAACAAAGAACAAAAAAUCAGAAUCCGAGAAGUUCCCAAGGUGCCCAAGGUGAUGCCAACCCUUUAAAAGUACAGAUAGUACCGAUUUGUAUCAGUUGUGUUACAAGAAAGUUAUUUUGCUAACAAUGUGAUGACACCAACUAUGGUUUUCCUGUGUCUAACUUUUGAAGACAAUUCCUCUGUUUAACAGCUUGUGUGUGAAGUACAUGGAUUUCAGAUGGUCAAUCAUUGUGCAACUAAAAUGGGGCCAUUACAUUGAUAAUAAAUAUUUUGUUUGAAAUUCAAUGAAACUUCCUUCAGUAGGCCUAUCAAAUUAAUUACGAAAAAUGAAAAUUGAUGCUGAACAUAACUUUCCACUGUCACAUAUCAGACCAACAUAAAUUUGUGUAUUAUUUCCACAAUAUGCUGCUGAGAUAUCUCAAUGAUUUCAUAUUUAUGAUGUGUAGUUAGGAAUCAGUCUUUUAUGGCUGUGCUAUUGAUUGGUACACAAACGUUCUACCAAGAAUAAUUGCCAGAGAGUUUGAAUAAUUCUUUGUGGAACGCAUGUGUAUGUGCAACCUGUACAUUUUGGGAUCUGCUUUUUUGAUCAUUUGUUUUAUUAAAAUUCCCAAAAUGUAAUUCUUCCUUAUAACUCUGCUUAUUUUUCUGUGUACUGGAUAUUAUGUAACUGUUCCCACAGUUGUUAUGAGUCGUUCAAACUUCUGUAUAAGUAUCAUUUUUAAAAUUAUAACCAAGAACCCAAAUAUUAAUAAUAUACGUUUCACGCAA